GGGGGGAGCGCAGAUUCCUGGGCUGUGUCCCCGAGCACCCUGGGAUCUGGAGCCUGCACCACUGGAAUCGCGUUCCCGGGGCCCGCAGCCCCCU
This 94-nucleotide microRNA precursor is filed under the name Canis lupus familiaris (dog). RNAcentral describes it as "mir-8799 microRNA precursor family". It matches the Rfam family "mir-8799 microRNA precursor family". RNAcentral also lists the same sequence under 1 other name. Lineage: Eukaryota; Metazoa; Chordata; Mammalia; Carnivora; Canidae. The record is from Rfam by way of RNAcentral.